RNAcentral lists this long non-coding RNA (403 nucleotides) under Phascolarctos cinereus (koala). RNAcentral describes it as "lncRNA (ENSPCIG00000016642.2)". Lineage: Eukaryota; Metazoa; Chordata; Mammalia; Diprotodontia; Phascolarctidae. The record is from RNAcentral.
CGAAGCUACUGCUUGUCUCAGGAGGCUACAGAGGGGUCAAAGUCUUCUGUGUGGUAGAGGAAGGCAUUUUGGUCAAAGGUGUAAUGAGUCAGAUAGAAGAUCUGGGACCGUAGCCAGUGAUGAUGACUGCCUGGAAGCGGAUGGCUUCCUAAAAUCAGAACUGGUUUUGAGAGGAAUGGAAGUGAAACUGAAAGGAGCCAGCAAAGGGAAGAGCAAGGAAGAAGCUCCAGAUCAAUGGAAAAAUGAGAAAAAAAAACAAACUAGAGACAUCUCAGCUCUCCUGACUACCCUUCCCAGAGAGAAUGAAACACAGCUAAGUAGAAUAAGUGCUGAAAAGGAAGCUAUGACUCAUCCCAUUCAGACUUUACAGGUAAAGAAACAGGAUCAAGGGAGUCAUGGGACU